AACAACUCUCAGCAACGGAUAUCUUGGCUCUUGCAACGAU
Molecule: ribosomal RNA, 40 nt
Filed under: Amphidium californicum
Lineage: Eukaryota; Viridiplantae; Streptophyta; Bryopsida; Orthotrichales; Orthotrichaceae
Description: partial 5.8S ribosomal RNA
Source: RNAcentral